GACGAACGCUGGCGGCGUGCUUAACACAUGCAAGUCGAACGGAAAGGCCCUGCUUUUGUGGGGUGCUCGAGUGGCGAACGGGUGAGUAACACGUGAGUAACCUGCCCUUGACUUUGGGAUAACUUCAGGAAACUGGGGCUAAUACCGGAUAGGAGCUCCUGCUGCAUGGUGGGGGUUGGAAAGUUUCGGCGGUUGGGGAUGGACUCGCGGCUUAUCAGCUUGUUGGUGGGGUAGUGGCUUACCAAGGCUUUGACGGGUAGCCGGCCUGAGAGGGUGACCGGCCACAUUGGGACUGAGAUACGGCCCAGACUCCUACGGGAGGCAGCAGUGGGGAAUAUUGCACAAUGGGCGGAAGCCUGAUGCAGCAACGCCGCGUGCGGGAUGACGGCCUUCGGGUUGUAAACCGCUUUCGCCCGUGACGAAGCGUGAGUGACGGUAAUGGGUAAAGAAGCACCGGCUAACUACGUGCCAGCAGCCGCGGUGAUACGUAGGGUGCGAGCGUUGUCCGGAUUUAUUGGGCGUAAAGGGCUCGUAGGUGGUUGAUCGCGUCGGAAGUGUAAUCUUGGGGCUUAACCCUGAGCGUGCUUUCGAUACGGGUUGACUUGAGGAAGGUAGGGGAGAAUGGAAUUCCUGGUGGAGCGGUGGAAUGCGCAGAUAUCAGGAGGAACACCAGUGGCGAAGGCGGUUCUCUGGGCCUUUCCUGACGCUGAGGAGCGAAAGCGUGGGGAGCGAACAGGCUUAGAUACCCUGGUAGUCCACGCUGUAAACGGUGGGUACUAGGUGUGGGGUCCAUUCCACGGGUUCCGUGCCGUAGCUAACGCUUUAAGUACCCCGCCUGGGGAGUACGGCCGCAAGGCUAAAACUCAAAGGAAUUGACGGGGCCCCGCACAGGCGGCGGAGCAUGCGGAUUAAUUCGAUGCAACGCGUAGAACCUUACCUGGGUUUGACAUGGAUCGGGAGUGCUCAGAGAUGGGUGUGCCUCUUUUGGGGUCGGUUCACAGGUGGUGCAUGGCUGUCGUCAGCUCGUGUCGUGAGAUGUUGGGUUAAGUCCCGCAACGAGCGCAACCCUUGUUCACUGUUGCCAGCACGUUAUGGUGGGGACUCAGUGGAGACCGCCGGGGUCAACUCGGAGGAAGGUGGGGAUGACGUCAAGUCAUCAUGCCCCUUAUGUCCAGGGCUUCACGCAUGCUACAAUGGCUGGUACAGAGAGUGGCGAGCCUGUGAGGGUGAGCGAAUCUCGGAAAGCCGGUCUCAGUUCGGAUUGGGGUCUGCAACUCGACCUCAUGAAGUCGGAGUCGCUAGUAAUCGCAGAUCAGCAACGCUGCGGUGAAUACGUUCCCGGG
RNAcentral lists this ribosomal RNA (1343 nucleotides) under uncultured bacterium. Its description in RNAcentral is "16S ribosomal RNA". It matches the Rfam family "Bacterial small subunit ribosomal RNA", at positions 28 to 1378 of the family's 1533-position model. The record is from RNAcentral.